Hypoxylon sp. NC1633 is the source of this 73-nucleotide non-coding RNA. NCBI's taxonomy places the organism in Eukaryota, Fungi, Ascomycota, Sordariomycetes, Xylariales, Hypoxylaceae. The record is from the annotation of a GenBank genome assembly.
GGGCAUUUGGUCAAGUGGUAUGACAGCCAGAGUAACUUGCCAAAAGUCGUGGGUUCAAAUCCCACUGUGUGCG